Molecule: ribosomal RNA, 512 nt
Filed under: Colletotrichum gloeosporioides
Lineage: Eukaryota; Fungi; Ascomycota; Sordariomycetes; Glomerellales; Glomerellaceae
Description: eukaryotic LSU rRNA
Rfam family: 5.8S ribosomal RNA (bases 153-306)
Source: RNAcentral
CCCUUUGUGACAUACCUAUAACUGUUGCUUCGGCGGGUAGGGUCUCCGCGACCCUCCCGGCCUCCCGCCUCCGGGCGGGUCGGCGCCCGCCGGAGGAUAACCAAACUCUGAUUUAACGACGUUUCUUCUGAGUGGUACAAGCAAAUAAUCAAAACUUUUAACAACGGAUCUCUUGGUUCUGGCAUCGAUGAAGAACGCAGCGAAAUGCGAUAAGUAAUGUGAAUUGCAGAAUUCAGUGAAUCAUCGAAUCUUUGAACGCACAUUGCGCCCGCCAGCAUUCUGGCGGGCAUGCCUGUUCGAGCGUCAUUUCAACCCUCAAGCUCUGCUUGGUGUUGGGGCCCUACAGCCGAUGUAGGCCCUCAAAGGUAGUGGCGGACCCUCCCGGAGCCUCCUUUGCGUAGUAACUUUACGUCUCGCACUGGGAUCCGGAGGGACUCUUGCCGUAAAACCCCCCAAUUUUCCAAAGGUUGACCUCGGAUCAGGUAGGAAUACCCGCUGAACUUAAGCAUAUC